UGGGGAAUAUUGGACAAUGGGCGCAAGCCUGAUCCAGCCAUGCCGCGUGAGUGAUGAAGGCCCUAGGGUUGUAAAGCUCUUUCACCGGUGAAGAUAAUGACGGUAACCGGAGAAGAAGCCCCGGCUAACUUCGUGCCAGCAGCCGCGGUAAUACGAAGGGGGCUAGCGUUGCUCGGAAUCACUGGGCGUAAAGCGCACGUAGGCGGACUCUUAAGUCGGUGGUGAAAUCCUGGAGCUCAACUCCAGAACUGCCUUCGAUACUGGGAGUCUCGAGUUCGGGAGAGGUGAGUGGAACUGCGAGUGUAGAGGUGAAAUUCGUAGAUAUUCGCAAGAACACCAGUGGCGAAGGCGGCUCACUGGCCCGAUACUGACGCUGAGGUGCGAAAGCGUGGGGAGCAAACA
Molecule: ribosomal RNA, 402 nt
Filed under: uncultured bacterium
Lineage: Bacteria
Description: bacterial SSU rRNA
Rfam family: Bacterial small subunit ribosomal RNA
Source: RNAcentral